UAGGUUUUUUGGGGAGGGUGAUGCCUGCCCAGUGACUUAAGUUUAACGGCCGCGGUAUCCUAACCGUGCGAAGGUAGCGCAAUCAAUUGUCUCAUAAAUCGAGACUUGUAUGAAUGGCUAAACGAGACCCUAACUGUCUCUUGCAGGUAAUCAAUGAAAUUGAUCCCCCUGUGCAAAAGCAGGAAUUACAACAUAAGACGAGAAGACCCUGUGGAACUUAAAAAUCUCUGGUCAAUGCUAUCACUUUCCUAACCUAAUGGCCCACCCCACAUGCAUUCCUUUGACCCUAAUUUUUCGGUUGGGGCGACCUUGGAGUAUAAAUAAGCCUCCAAAAAUAAGACCACCUUGUCUUAACUUAGAGCCUACACCUCAAAGUACUAACAGUAACCAGACCCAAUAUAAUUGAUUAAUGGACUAAGCUACCCCAGGGAUAACAGCGCAAUCUCCUUCAAGAGCCCCUAUCGACAAGGAGGUUUACGACCUCGAUGUUGGAUCAGGACAUCCUAAUGGUGCAGCCGCUAUUAAGGGUUCGUUUGUUCAACGAUUAACAGUCCUACGUGAUCUGAUUUCAGACCAGA
RNAcentral lists this ribosomal RNA (578 nucleotides) under Crypturellus parvirostris (small-billed tinamou). Its description in RNAcentral is "partial 16S ribosomal RNA". It matches the Rfam family "Bacterial large subunit ribosomal RNA", at positions 1835 to 2620 of the family's 2925-position model. Lineage: Eukaryota; Metazoa; Chordata; Aves; Tinamiformes; Tinamidae. The record is from RNAcentral.